Molecule: long non-coding RNA, 377 nt
Organism: Melanotaenia boesemani (Boeseman's rainbowfish)
Lineage: Eukaryota; Metazoa; Chordata; Actinopteri; Atheriniformes; Melanotaeniidae
Exons: 3
Source: RefSeq, a predicted model, not a curated record
AAGUUGCUCAUGGGAAUAAAACAACGAGAAACGUCAUAGAAAGCCGGAGAGAGAGAGAGAGAGAGCGAGCACCAGACAUAGAAACAGGAAGUGUCUCAGGAGUAGUCGUACCAUGAAGUGCAUUUCUGUUUGAGACAUUUUAUUUAAGUUGUCCAUCUCAACCAUGUGGAACGUUUUGGUCCUCGUCACUUCUCUCAGCAUCUCAUCUCCACUUGCUGCAGGUCUGAUCAGAUUAGCCGGGCCUGGGUCGACCAGAUGUUCUGGAAGAGUUGAAAUCUACUACAGUGGUACGUGGGGAACGGUCUGUGACGAUGACUGGGACAAAAAUGAUGCUAACGUGGUUUGUAGACAGUUGGGCUGUGGGACAGCAACCAGGG